CCUACGGGAGGCAGCAGUGAGGAAUAUUGGUCAAUGGCCGUAAGGCUGAACCAGCCAAGUCGCGUGAAGGAAGAAGGAUCUAUGGUUUGUAAACUUCUUUUAUAGGGGAAUAAAGGUAUCCACGUGUGGAUAUUUGCAUGUACCCUAUGAAUAAGCAUCGGCUAACUCCGUGCCAGCAGCCGCGGUAAUACGGGGGAUGCGAACGUUAUCCGGUUUUCUUGGGGUUAAAGGGUGCGUAGGUUGUUUUUAAAGCAGCGGGGAAAGUUUUGGGCUCAACCAUAAAAUUGCCGUUGAAACUGGAAGACUUGAGUGUGUUUGAGGAAGGCGGAAUGCGUGGUGUAGCGGUGAAAUGCAUAGAUAUCACGCAGAACUCCGAUUGCGAAGGCAGCUUACUAAGCCAUAACUGACACUGAAGCACGAAAGCGUGGGGAUCAAACAGGAUUAGAUACCCCUGUAGUC
Molecule: ribosomal RNA, 459 nt
Filed under: uncultured bacterium
Lineage: Bacteria
Description: partial 16S ribosomal RNA
Rfam family: Bacterial small subunit ribosomal RNA
Source: RNAcentral